ACGGGUGAGUAACACGUGAGCAACCUGCCCUAAAGACUGGGAUAACCCCGGGAAACCGGAGCUAAUACCGGAUGUCCUCAUCAGAUCGCAUGUUCAGAUGAGGAAAUGAAUUUCGCUUUAGGAGGGGCUCGCGGGAUAUCAGCUUGUUGGUGGGGUAACGGCCUACCAAGGCUUCGACGUCUAGCUGGUCUGAGAGGACGAUCAGCCACACUGGGACUGAGACACGGCCCAGACUCCUACGGGAGGCAGCAGUGGGGAAUCUUGCCCAAUGGGCGAAAGCCUGAGGCAGCAACGCCGCGUGUGGGAUGACGGCCUUCGGGUUGUAAACCACUUUCAGCAGGGACGAAAUUGACGGUACCUGCAGAAGAAGCUCCGGCCAACUACGUGCCAGCAGCCGCGGUAAUACGUAGGGAGCAAGCGUUGUCCGGAUUUAUUGGGCGUAAAGAGCGCGUAGGCGGCUUAGUAAGCCGGAUGUGAAACCCCCAAGCUCAACUUGGGGCGGCCAUUCGGAACUGCUAUGGCUAGAGUCUGGUAGGGGAACACGGAAUUCCUGGUGUAGCGGUGAAAUGCUUAGA
RNAcentral lists this ribosomal RNA (575 nucleotides) under uncultured bacterium. RNAcentral's name for it is "bacterial SSU rRNA". It matches the Rfam family "Bacterial small subunit ribosomal RNA", at positions 102 to 694 of the family's 1533-position model. The record is from RNAcentral.